Molecule: ribosomal RNA, 1371 nt
Filed under: uncultured bacterium
Lineage: Bacteria
Description: bacterial SSU rRNA
Rfam family: Bacterial small subunit ribosomal RNA
Source: RNAcentral
AGUUUGAUCCUGGCUCAGGACGAACGCUGGCGGCGCGCCUAACACAUGCAAGUCGAACGGAGCUGAGAGAAGCUUGCUUUUCUUAGCUUAGUGGCGAACGGGUGAGUAACGCGUGAGUAACCUGCCCUGGAGUGGGGGACAACAGUUGGAAACGACUGCUAAUACCGCAUAAGCCCACGGUGCUGCAUGGCACUGCGGGAAAAGGAUUUAUUCGCUCUAGGAUGGACUCGCGUCCAAUUAGCUAGUUGGUGAGGUAACGGCCCACCAAGGCGACGAUUGGUAGCCGGACUGAGAGGUUGAACGGCCACAUUGGGACUGAGACACGGCCCAGACUCCUACGGGAGGCAGCAGUGGGGGAUAUUGCACAAUGGGGGAAACCCUGAUGCAGCGACGCCGCGUGGAGGAAGAAGGUUUUCGGAUUGUAAACUCCUGUCGUUAGGGACGAUAAUGACGGUACCUAACAAGAAAGCACCGGCUAACUACGUGCCAGCAGCCGCGGUAAAACGUAGGGGUGCAAGCGUUGUCCGGAAUUACUGGGUGUAAAGGGAGCGCAGGCGGACCGGCAAGUUGGAAGUGAAAUCCAUGGGCUCAACCCGUGAAUUGCUUUCAAAACUGCUGGCCUUGAGUAGUGCAGAGGUAGGUGGAAUUCCCGGUGUAGCGGUGGAAUGCGUAGAUAUCGGGAGGAACACCAGUGGCGAAGGCGACCUACUGGGCACCAACUGACGCUGAGGCUCGAAAGCAUGGGUAGCAAACAGGAUUAGAUACCCUGGUAGUCCAUGCCGUAAACGAUGAUUACUAGGUGUUGGAGGAUUGACCCCUUCAGUGCCGCAGUUAACACAAUAAGUAAUCCACCUGGGGAGUACGACCGCAAGGUUGAAACUCAAAGGAAUUGACGGGGGCCCGCACAAGCAGUGGAGUAUGUGGUUUAAUUCGAAGCAACGCGAAGAACCUUACCAGGUCUUGACAUCCGAUGCAUAGUGCAGAGAUGCAUGAAGUCCUUCGGGACAUCGAGACAGGUGGUGCAUGGUUGUCGUCAGCUCGUGUCGUGAGAUGUUGGGUUAAGUCCCGCAACGAGCGCAACCCUUAUUGCCAGUUACUACGAAAGAGGACUCUGGCGAGACUGCCGUUGACAAAACGGAGGAAGGUGGGGAUGACGUCAAAUCAUCAUGCCCUUUAUGACCUGGGCUACACACGUACUACAAUGGCGUUUAACAAAGAGAAGCAAGACCGCGAGGUGGAGCAAAACUCAGAAACAACGUCUCAGUUCAGAUUGCAGGCUGCAACUCGCCUGCAUGAAGUCGGAAUUGCUAGUAAUCGCGGAUCAGCAUGCCGCGGUGAAUACGUUCCCGGGCCUUGUACACACCGCCCGUC